This is a non-coding RNA of Novosphingobium sp. ST904, 412 nucleotides long. Lineage: Bacteria; Pseudomonadati; Pseudomonadota; Alphaproteobacteria; Sphingomonadales; Sphingomonadaceae. The record is from Rfam.
GCCCUUUUCUUUUCCGGCCGGCGCCCUAUAUGAGGUUCCGCCGGUUUCGACCGGAUAUGAUGAUAAACUGCGCCGUAUAAUAGGCACAGCGGACCCGGGGGCGGUACCCGGCGGCUCCACCAUCACCCGUUCCUUCGGAGUUUUCCGGUGGGACAGCCCUGUUGUCGCAGGGGUGAUGACGGGGCCGAACUAGGAUCGACGUGUGUUGAAAAGCGGUGUUUUCAUUCGGGCUGAGUAACCCGUUCAAGGCUCAAAACUCACAAGUGCCAACGACAACGAAGCACUCGCUCUCGCCGCGUAAUUCUAGGGGCUAACGCCCUGACGUUACAAAGCUAAAGCGCGGUUGGACCCACCGGGCAACAGAAGGGAUUCCAGGGGUUCGGGGUGUACCUUGCAACAGAAACACCCCACC